UCCAUUUCAUGACAAAUUUAAGCAAGCUCCAUCCUCGUUCUCCCUGCAGGUGGAAUAUCAUGGAUGGGGCAUGGAAACAGACCUGCCCGCAUUGAGCCCAGUGCAGCUCUCUGUGCAAUGGAUCUUGAACGUCCCUUGCCUGCCUCCAUGUCCUCCAGCUGUUGCCUCAACUAUUGCCUUCUCGACAUGUCUGAGUGGAAUGAGGAAGCCCUUCCUCCACACCCCACAACACCUUGGACCUUCGUAGACAGAAAUGUUCUCGUUUCUUAUCCGCCUGUCCCUGCCCACUGGUCUUUAGAACACGAGUGGCUUACACAUGGCCAUUGAAUAAGAGUCUGUCAAGCAAAUGAAAUGGCCAAAAUACAACAGAAUAAAUUGCGACUGAAUUACAAUCAAACUCCCUUUUCCCUGAAAGGUUUAUUUCUUGGCAGCAUUGGAUAGGUGUUCCCUCCGAGGCCACACAAAGUGAUUCGGCCUGGAGUCCCAGGAUGCGGAAAAUCUUCAAUCUCCUCUUGGAGUUUGUCUGUUCCAGGUUCCAGGAGCACCCAAGUGGGCUCUAAUCAAGUGUGACUGUCCCUCAAAUCUGUGUCACCUUGCAGAUGUUCAACGGAAGGAACUGUGUGAGCGCAAGUGAUAGAUGCCUAUCCCGAAGCUCAACAGCAAGAAGAAACGCUGACUCCACUCUCACUGCAGAGCUGGGAGGAAAAGCAAGAGCUUUAUUUACUUAGCGCUCCCCAAAUUCUUAA
This is a long non-coding RNA of Pan paniscus (pygmy chimpanzee), 746 nucleotides long. The record is from Ensembl. NCBI's taxonomy places the organism in Eukaryota, Metazoa, Chordata, Mammalia, Primates, Hominidae.